GACAGAGGCCUCAAGCGUUAGGCGGAAUCACUGGGCUUAAAGCGUGUGUAGGCGGAUCGUUAAGUGUCUUGUGAAAUCCCACGGCUCAACCGUGGAACUGCUGGGCAUACUGGCGAUCUUGGGCCAUUCAGGGGCGACUGGAACAAGCGGUGGAGCGGUGAAAUGCGUAGAUAUCGCUUGGAACGCCGAAGGUGAAAACAGGUCGCUGGGGAUGUGCCGACGCUGAGACACGAAAGCCAGGGGAGCGAACGGG
This 253-nucleotide ribosomal RNA is filed under the name uncultured bacterium. Its description in RNAcentral is "partial 16S ribosomal RNA". It matches the Rfam family "Bacterial small subunit ribosomal RNA", at positions 524 to 776 of the family's 1533-position model. The record is from RNAcentral.